This is a long non-coding RNA of Physeter macrocephalus (sperm whale), 4539 nucleotides long. Lineage: Eukaryota; Metazoa; Chordata; Mammalia; Artiodactyla; Physeteridae. The record is from Ensembl.
CUCCAAGGAGAGCAUCACAGCAGACUGUCCUUGUUAAAAUCAAACGUGAUUAACCACGGCUGUUUCCCCUUUGAGAUAAUGCCCACGCCCGGGGGGAGGUGCCCAACGUGGCUGGGGGAGUCACAAGAGGGGGUUAGACGGAGACGGCGCUGGCGACCCUGGCCACAGCGGCAGGGAGGAAAUGCGGGCGAGUUAAAGAGGAAAACGAGGCUGGAGACCUUGAUUAGCGGCUUUUCAUCUUUCGGAUGCCUGAGAGCAGGCCGAGGGGAGAGGACUGUCAGAUCCAAGCCGAGAGAAGUUCUAACCCAUAGGUAGCACGAGACUAGUGAUGAAACCACAGAAAUCUGAGUACGGUCCCCACCGAAAAGGUCAGUCGUGAUUUCAGGUGAGUACAGAUAUCAUGGCAGCACUUCAGAUUACUGACAUUGUUUGAUAAGCUGAUUCCUUUGGGGGAGAAAUAAUUAGUGCACUUAGCCUGAAUAAGUACUUAGUGUGUUUAAAUUUAAAACAGAUCUAGGAGAGAGUGAACGGGUUGGGGGUGGGGGGGAGCCCGUAUCACAACCUUGGGGAUGAUUUAAUCGUGGGGACAGUAUUAACUCAUAAAAAUGUAGUUAAUGGGAGUAAAUGUGACAGGGCUUUGAAUUUCUGGGAUUAUUAUGAUAUACAUUCAUGCCAGUCUAACUGUGAUCCUAACAAUAAAAACUGUACAAACAACAGGGGUAGGAGGCUCUUGGAUGUUAGAGUACAUUAGAAUAAACUGGGGAACUUGUUAAGAUGCAGAUUCCCAGACUACUUGUUUGUGUCCCAGCAACUGGCCUUUUUAUAACAAGUUGCCGUUACUCUGAUGCAGAUGCUACCUUGACUGUACUUUGAGAAACCAUGAUUGAGUUAGUGUCUGAAUGAGCUCCCUUAAUAAAAGUAAGGUUUCAUUUAGAAAUAAGAACUAGAACACUGUUCAUGUGUCCCUGAUACCAAAAUGGUCUUUAUCAUUUUAUUCCAUGCUUCUUUCGUCCCAGAGAGUUCAGGCAGCAAUGAAUACCUUGGCCCUGAUAAUCUAUUUCUGUGUAGAAAGGCCCCUUCACAUUCACCUGGCCACGUCUUGCUGGAGAUGGAGAAGUCAUUUCUCGCUGAAGUUCUUCCUUUUCCUCCCAGCAGUAAGGUGAAUAAAACUCAUUUUGUUCUAAGAAAGGAAAAAUAAUUCCAACGUAACAGAAUAAAGCCAAUAAUAUCAUAGAAAAUUAAACUAAAGAGAAAAAUUUGGAAUCAUAUAAGAAUAAAAAGCCAACGUUUUUCAAGUUAUCCAGAAAACAAGCCCAAUAUCUUAAUAAAAGAUGCUUGAAUAAAAUACAAACUUCACGGUAGAACUCAGGAAUGACUGUGAUCUGUCAAACUCAGAAGUGACUUUGGAUCAGAUAGUAACAAUGGAGUAAUAGGAAAAGUGGGAUUUCCCAGGCCGGUUUCUGCUUUAAUAUCUUUUUUUUUUUUUUUGCCAUGCCCUGCAGCAUGUGGGAUCUUAGUUCCCUGACCAGGGAUCGAACGCGUGCCCCCUGCAGUGGAAGCACGGAGUCUUAACCACUGGACCGCCAGGGAAGUCCCUGGUUUCUGCUUAUACGCCCCAAAGAACCUCAGUUAAGCCCUCACUCCUCAUUUCAACAGACUCCUGGGAGCUGACCCAAACUUGCUAAUCUUCAAGUCUGAACACCAGUUGAUGGUUUUCAUCAUCAUAAAAUGAUCCCCUGGAGCAAAGGAAAACAACUUUGGUUUCGACAGUGCCUCUGGGAGAAACUCAAGACACUUUGACUAUGGACCCUCCCUGCAUUCUUUGGGGUCAAGCAGGCACCACAAGAAGCAAAACAGCAUGAGAAAAGGCUGAGUCAGACAACAUGUAGCAACAAGCCCAGGAACUUCUCCAGGGGCCCAGGAAGUUGGAAGCCUCCCAGUUAUGUCAUAGGACAUUGUCCUUUCUUGGAACUUUGAAGGUUUCUUGAGUGUCAGCAGCAAGGCCAUCCCACUCCCACCUGACUUCUCACAGGACAUGGUAUCUCUGAAAGGAUCAUAUCCACAGGGACAAUUACUGACUGAACAAACACUCCUGAUGAUGUAAUGUGUCCUGAAAUCCUGACCAACAACUUGCUCAUGGUUGCCGUCCCCAUGAUUUUGGCUGAGGAUGCUAUUCGGAGGGAAAAGGUGGCUUCUCCUGCAGAUGAUUUUUUUAAUAAUUCUUUUUAAUAGUAGGGAAAGAAUGCAAAAUAGGAAAGGGAUAAAGAAUAGGCUUAUUAUCUGGUUAAAAUUAACAAUGAAAAUUAGGUUAGUGAUUUCUUCUCAUCAGAGCACAGAGGUCAAAGUCCUGUUAUAAAUAUCACAUCCGCCUGAGAAUUAGAUUUCACAGUCAUACUCGGUACCUCACUCAUCUCACAUAACAGAACAACAUUUCAAUGGCGCAAAAGAAGGGAUAACUAUCCUCAGAGCAUCAUAGCUUUCAGGUGCUUGUGGUGCCUCGCAGUAUCACCUGCUCUUCUCUGGGGGGGGGGGGUCACUUACUUUGACAUGUAUAAAUUAGAAAAGUGAUGAAAAAGACUGAAUGUGUAGAACGUUCCCAGACAGAUCCUUAAGGAUAAGUUAGAACAGUGUUGGGAAUUGGGAGCCCCAGAAUCCCCUGAGGAACUUCACUAAGAACUGCUGCAGACAUUUGCCGGCUAGCUUCAACCUGCUCUGACCUCAGGGAACCACUCAGUAUCAGCAAGACACACCGAUCGGAGUUGAUCUCAGGCUCCUGUGUUGGCCUAAGUCUGAUGAAAAGUCAGUUGCAGGUACUGUUUUUCUUUACUUCAAAAUGACCAUGCAGUGUGGUUACUGAAUGCUGUCCCUGGUUCUACUGAUUCUCUGGGAGAUGGAACCUCUAGAUGUAAGAGAUAAGCUUCUGAAAACAUUCUUGGGAAACCAAGGUGCAGUCUUACAAUGCAGUCUGACAGUGUAAAACCUCCAAAGAAUGAAGCAAUGGCUUUUGUUGAUGGCUCGGGAGAAGUCUGUGGGUGGCCUACUGAUUCUGAGUUCAUCAAAAUACAUCUGUAUCAGGGAUCAAAACUACAUUUUUGAAGUUCUUAACCAGAAAAUUUUCAUCAAUUAAAAUGUACUAAGAAAAACGAGCAUUUGAUACCCUCCUAAGAAUUUUACUCUCCCAGUUCUCUAGGACUGGCUGCUAUAGUACUUGUAGCCCAAAUCAGCACAGGUGGCCACCCCCCCCCACCCCCGAGGAUUCAACACGUGUAAAAACAACAACAGAACUGAAGCACAGCCUGGGAUGCACCACCUGCUUAGAGUAUCGGGUUGUUGCCGUCUCCGGCAGCUGACAACAUAGCCUGGUCGCUGGCCCAUCACCUCCUUCCAUCUUCCAGUCUAUAUAUUUUAAUAAACUUACAGCUUGGGCUCUCGAGUACCCUCUCAGAUGUUAUUAUUGAAGCAGAAUAGUGCAAAAUCAGUCUUCAGAGGUUAAGGAGGGAGUUUUCAGUGAAAAUGUAGUUGAUAAGUUUGACAUUUUUUAGGAAAAGAAACUUUUUUGAAAAGCCUCAUUAAAACAGCCUGCUAAUGUAUCUCACCAAGUAAGCUGUAUUUAGCUCAAAUCUCGUAUAGGAGGACAGCAUGAAUUCAGUUUUGAACUGACUUGGGUUCUGGCCUCCUUGUCAACAGGUUGGAGAGUUGUCCUUGUUAGUAAAAUUUAGCUUUCUCUCCACCCCAGUGAUGAUGAUAGGAAGCACUGCGAAAGGGUAUGAUCGCCAUGUUGCAUAAAGCCUUCUGCCUGGGAAGGUGUGUGUGCUGUUGACUGUUGCAGGAGUACAGUAAUGAGCACCGGCAGCCGGGGCUCCCCCAUAUACUCAGUUUAAAACAGGCAUUGACGGUCUACUCACUGUUGAGAGUUUAAGAAAAACGUCUCCACACUCAAUGUGACUGUCUUUGGAAUUCUUCGUUUCAUUAAGGUUCUCACAAAAUACAAAGCUCAAAUGUAACUGUCUACGUCCACCACAAAACAGAAUCAAGUAAGUGGUUAGCACACAAACAAUGAUCUUUUUCAUUUUUAAAAAUAUAAAUAACAACGUUCAAGGUUUGACAGUUUUCUCCUGUGUGUGUGUGUUUCUCUUUAAGGCUUUAUGUUGCAGACCCUUAAGUACGCGUACCUGUCGUCAGGAUACACUGCCCACAAGCAGGGAAGGCCACCGUGGGUACGUUCCUGAGGGUGACAAGCACUUAUCCAUGUUGCCUCAGCCUGUGGAAAACUAAACAAUCAGACACCCUCCGAUCAGUUCGCACAGUUUCAUUAAUUUUCUUUCUACUACGAAGUAACAAUAGAAAGGGGUAAGUUCCCAGCAGCAUUCAAGCUCUCAGAUCAAUCAUGAAGGGCGAGAAGGAAAAGACAGGCUUUACCCUGGAUGGAAUUUUUUCCUUUCAUCCAGAAAAACCCCCAUAACCCAUAGAGUUUAAAGGCUGGCUUGUACUGAAACAUUUUUCAGAUUAAAUAGUGUGGAGAGAAGGGGUGGUCUUUUC